This 72-nucleotide transfer RNA is filed under the name Etmopterus spinax (velvet belly lantern shark). RNAcentral's name for it is "tRNA-Asp". It matches the Rfam family "tRNA". From Rfam's summary of the family: Transfer RNA (tRNA) molecules are approximately 80 nucleotides in length. Lineage: Eukaryota; Metazoa; Chordata; Chondrichthyes; Squaliformes; Etmopteridae. The record is from RNAcentral.
AAGAUUCUAGUAAAAUAUAUUACACUGCCUUGUCAGGGCAAAAUCAUGAGUUUAAAUCUCAUGUCUCUUAAA